Molecule: ribosomal RNA, 451 nt
Filed under: uncultured bacterium
Lineage: Bacteria
Description: bacterial SSU rRNA
Rfam family: Bacterial small subunit ribosomal RNA
Source: RNAcentral
AACGAACGCUGGCGGCAGGCUUAACACAUGCAAGUCGAACGCUCGUAGCAAUACGGGAGUGGCGGACGGGUGAGUAACGCGUGGGAACGUGCCUCUUGCUACGGAAUAGCCUCGGGAAACUGGGAGUAAUACCGUAUGUGCCCUACGGGGGAAAGAUUUAUCGGCAAGAGAUCGGCCCGCGUUGGAUUAGGUAGUUGGUGGGGUAAUGGCCUACCAAGCCGACGAUCCAUAGCUGGUUUGAGAGGAUGAUCAGCAACACUGGGACUGAGACACGGCCCAGACUCCUACGGGAGGCAGCAGUGGGGAAUAUUGCUCAAUGGCCGAAAGGCUGAAGCAGCAACGCCGCGUGGAGGAUGAAAUACUUUUGUAUGUAAACUCCUGUAAGAAGGGAAAAUAUUUCGAUUUAUCGGAAUUGAUUGUACCUUCAGAGUAAGCACCGGCUAACUACGUG